AUAAUAAGCUAUUAAGGGCUAAUGGUGGAUGCCUUGACUGUAAGAGGCGAUGAAGGACGUAUUAGGCUGCGAUAAGCCUCGGGGAGUUGCCAAAGAGCUUUGAUCCGAGGAUUUCCGAAUGGGGCAACCCAGCAUAGUGAGAACUAUGUUACCCUACGGGGAGCGAACCUGGUGAAGUGAAACAUCUCAGUAGCCAGAGGAAGAGAAAUCAAAUGAGAUUCCCAUAGUAGCGGCGAGCGAACUGGGAUUAGGACAAACCCAAUGCUUGCAUUGGGGGUUGUAGGACUAUAAUGUGUAAUUAAAGAGAAUAGAUGAAUUAGUUGGAAAACUAGAGCAUAGAAGGUGAUACUCCUGUAAUUAAAAUUCUCAAUAAUACUAAUAGUAUCCUGAGUAGGUCGGAACACGUGAUAUUUUGACUGAAGCUGGGGGG
This 430-nucleotide ribosomal RNA is filed under the name Aliarcobacter cryaerophilus. RNAcentral's name for it is "bacterial LSU rRNA". It matches the Rfam family "Bacterial large subunit ribosomal RNA", at positions 1 to 451 of the family's 2925-position model. The record is from RNAcentral. Lineage: Bacteria; Pseudomonadati; Campylobacterota; Epsilonproteobacteria; Campylobacterales; Arcobacteraceae.